GUAGGGAAUAUUGGGCAAUGGAGGCAACUCUGACCCAGCCAUGCCGCGUGCAGGAUGACGGCCCUCUGGGUUGUAAACUGCUUUUAUACGGGAAGAAAAAAUACUACGUGUAGUAUACUGACGGUACCGUAAGAAUAAGGAUCGGCUAACUCCGUGCCAGCAGCCGCGGUAAUACGGAGGAUCCAAGCGUUGUCCGGAUUUAUUGGGUUUAAAGGGUGCGUAGGCGGAUCUUUAAGUCAGUGGUGAAAGCCUGCAGCUUAACUGUAGAAUUGCCAUUGAAACUGAAGAUCUUGAAUGUGGUUAAAGUAGGCGGAAUGUAUCAUGUAGCGGUGAAAUGCGUAGAUAUGAUACAGAACACCGAUAGCGAAGGCAGCUUGCUGAACCAUUAUUGACGCUGAGGCACGAAAGCGUGGGGAGCGAACAGGAUUAGAAACCCGAGUAGUCC
This 445-nucleotide ribosomal RNA is filed under the name uncultured bacterium. RNAcentral describes it as "partial 16S ribosomal RNA". It matches the Rfam family "Bacterial small subunit ribosomal RNA", at positions 354 to 796 of the family's 1533-position model. The record is from RNAcentral.